AGCGGGAGUGUUUUCCGGAAAAACACGGAAACUACUCAAACCGCUCGGGAAUAGCGCCAUUCCCAAACGCUCGGCCGAAAUUACUCCACCAAAACCGAUCCCUUCCCCGCUACAGCCCCCAUCCCUGCCACAUCGCGCGCGUCCACCCCCACCCCCUCUUCCCUUCGCGGUUCCAGUCACGCCACCCGUCGCGGCGCCCUGUACUCCACCGUCGCAGCUCCCAGCGGCGCGCAAGGCAUCCAAUCGGUCUCCGCGGCGCCCGUCCAUCUGGUUCCUACGGCUCCCAGCGGCGCGCAGGGGAUCCAAUCGCCGAUGGCGCUCCAAAACGGCGGCAACCCAGAUUGACUGAUUUUUGUGGAUACCAACCAGCAGAGCUUGAAUCUACUGUCACAGCACGGUACUUCCUGAGUUGCAGCUAGACAAGAUGUUGAAUUGUGCCAUGAUCUUUCACAAAUUUGGCAUGCACGAUGGCUCGCUGGGAUUAAAAUCAUGAGAACUGAACGAAUCUAUGCUACUAUCUUGCAAAAGUUUUAGUUCUGAUGCAUCUACAGGAACUGAGACUGCAUUUCUACUUGAUGGAUAGAUAACAGCAGGUAGUAGAUGUCCAUGGUGAUGCUCAUUUUGUACAAUACUUAUGGAUCCUUUCAGCUACAACACAUUGCACGAUGAGCAGAUACAUCUGAUGACUCCAGAUCCAUGUGUUUGUGAAGAUUGAAGACGAUAACAAUCUUGUUUUGUCUAUCAUUAUACUUAAGCUGUCAUUUUCUAAGAAUUUUUGCUGGUUGUAACAUCACUCGUAGGAAAGGUUUCUACCUUUCAUUGUAAUUGCACUGCAAAUAAAUAAUUACUCCGUGGCACGUAUUAAACAAUAAUUUUUCAAUGUAGAUAGUCGUAAUUAUUUCUCUGUUGUACUAAUAUAACCUUUUCGGCUAAA
Molecule: long non-coding RNA, 934 nt
Organism: Panicum hallii
Lineage: Eukaryota; Viridiplantae; Streptophyta; Magnoliopsida; Poales; Poaceae
Exons: 3
Source: RefSeq, a predicted model, not a curated record